Molecule: ribosomal RNA, 253 nt
Filed under: uncultured bacterium
Lineage: Bacteria
Description: partial 16S ribosomal RNA
Rfam family: Bacterial small subunit ribosomal RNA
Source: RNAcentral
CACGUAGGGGGCAAGCGUUGUCCGGAAUCAUUGGGCGUAAAGAGCUCGUAGGCGGCUCAGUAAGUCGGGUGUGAAACCCUCAGGCUCAACCUCGGGCCUGCAGUGGGUACGGGCAGACUAGAGUGCGGUAGGGGAGAUUGGAAUUCCUGGUGUAGCGGUGGAAUGCGCAGAUAUCAGGAGGAACACCAAUGGCGAAGGCAGAUCUCUGGGCCGUAACUGACGCUGAGGAGCGAAAGCAUGGGGAGCGAACAGG